This 390-nucleotide ribosomal RNA is filed under the name Tytthus chinensis. RNAcentral describes it as "partial large subunit ribosomal RNA". It matches the Rfam family "Eukaryotic large subunit ribosomal RNA", at positions 763 to 1138 of the family's 3401-position model. The record is from RNAcentral. Lineage: Eukaryota; Metazoa; Arthropoda; Insecta; Hemiptera; Miridae.
GGGCGUCUCUUCCUCAUCACGAGUGGAGGCGCACCCAGAGCGUACACGCUGAUACCCGAAAGAUGGUGAACUAUGCCUGGCGAGGACGAAGCCAGGGGAAACCCUGGUGGAGGUCCGCAGCGAUUCUGACGUGCAAAUCGAUCGUCGGAGCUGGGUAUAGGGGCGAAAGACCAAUCGAACCAUCUAGUAGCUGGUUCCCUCCGAAGUUUCCCUCAGGAUAGCUUGCGCUUAUGUGAAAGAGUCUCAUCCGGUAGAGCGAAUGAUUAGAGGCCUUGGGGUCGAAACGACCUCAACCUAUUCUCAAACUCCAAAUAGAUGAGAACUCCGGCUUACUUGAAACCUUUCAUGAAGCCGGGGGCUUUGGAUCAGAGUGCCAAGUGGGCCAAUUUU